Molecule: long non-coding RNA, 911 nt
Filed under: Heterocephalus glaber (naked mole-rat)
Lineage: Eukaryota; Metazoa; Chordata; Mammalia; Rodentia; Bathyergidae
Description: lncRNA (ENSHGLG00100032264.2)
Source: RNAcentral
AGAGGACAGUGUGUGAAGGGAUAACAAGAUCCUCUCACCACAUGGUCUGUUAAGGGAGAAAGAAAUAACAAAGCUUUUAUUUCCUUUAUGGAAAGCAAAGAAGCAGAAAAACUAUGUUUACAGAAGACAGAUCUUGGGGAGAUGUGGAGAGAAGAGGUCCUAAUUGGAUUAUUCACCAUGGAAGCCGUGAGAAGAUGCUGAAACAGAGAAGAUGGUUCACCAUCUGCUUAAUUUUUCCCAUGAAAGAGCCGAGCUUUCCAGAAGGAUUUCAGAAAGAUUCCCCUUAGGAUUUGCACCAGGCACCCACACCAAGAUUGGGAAAGAAUCUCAAGAAGGCUUUCCCACGGUAUGGCUGGGACAGAAGGAGCAGCCACUGCCCAAAUUGGUCAGAUACACAUUCUCCAUCUUCCCUGUAGGACAAACCCUUAAUGAAGGGGACAAAAACUGUGGACUGAGAUCACUGACCAUUCCACCCAACAACAGCCCUUCCAGGUGCACAUGGAAUAUCCACCAAGAACAGGCGCCAUGAAACGCCAAUGUACAGGCUGUAUUCCACAUAUCAGGUGCACCACUAUGCCCACUGCUGAUGGUGACACGGAGUAACAGAUGGCACUGCCAGGGCUACAGGUGCCUCGGAAUGGAGCCUUUUGAAGACUAAGCCAAGGCAGUGGCCUGAAAACUACUCAGUGAUACAGAAACCGAAGUUAUUGGAAAUUGGGGGGAGGGAAUUUAAAAAAACAGUGAUUAUCUUUUAAUAAAUGACUGUCUUCCAGAAGUAUUAAAGCUUUUGCUCACAGACGCAACCUGGCCUAUUUGUGGCUCAACACAAAAGCUCAGAGUUGGUGAGCCCCAAGAGGUCACCCCCCAGCGCAGCCCAGACCCAGAGAGACAACCCCAGCUCUAAAUGUUGA